Molecule: non-coding RNA, 473 nt
Organism: Rattus norvegicus (Norway rat)
Lineage: Eukaryota; Metazoa; Chordata; Mammalia; Rodentia; Muridae
Source: RefSeq, a predicted model, not a curated record
UCGAGCUCCAGGCGCUCGGGAGACACAGCCUCGUAGCGGGCCUCACAGGUGCUGUGGUGGCGCCGGCACAGCUCGAUGCGUCGGCGGAGGCGCUCCAUGACCGCGCUGUGCCGCGGCAGCGCGAACUCCGCCAUGGGGCAGAUAGGAUCACUCCAUAUAAAGGACAAGAACAGAGUGGAAUGACAAACAAGGAACUCUAAAUCCUGUCAUCAUCUGGGUACAAGGAACCCCUGCAAAACAUGGACCAGUAUUUACGAACUACUAAAGAAAAUCUCGGGCUGGAGAGAUGGCUCAGAGGUUAAGAGCACUGUCUGCUCUUCCAAAGGUCCUGAGUUCAAUUCCCAGCAACCACAUGGUGGCUCACAACCAUCCAUCCAUAUUGAGUUCCGAUGCCUUCUUUUGGCCUGCAGGCAUACAUGCAGGCAGAUAGCUAUAUGAUGUAUACAUAAUAAAUAAAUAUAUAUAUAAAAAAA